This is a non-coding RNA of Marasmius tenuissimus, 96 nucleotides long. The record is from the annotation of a GenBank genome assembly. NCBI's taxonomy places the organism in Eukaryota, Fungi, Basidiomycota, Agaricomycetes, Agaricales, Marasmiaceae.
GUGCCCGUAACUCAGUGGUAGAGUGUGAGAUUGCAACGAGUCUUCGGGCGUGCUUGUAUCAUCUUGAAGCCCCGUGUUCGACCCACGGCGGGCACU